CGAAACUUGCGUGGAACAGG
This 20-nucleotide microRNA is filed under the name Ciona intestinalis (vase tunicate). Its description in RNAcentral is "cin-miR-4000a-5p". Lineage: Eukaryota; Metazoa; Chordata; Ascidiacea; Phlebobranchia; Cionidae. The record is from miRBase by way of RNAcentral.